AUUCCAGCUCUCCUAGUGUAUGCAAAAGUUGCUGCAGUUAAAACGCUCCUACUCGGUGAUUUAGGGCGCUUGUAGGGACCGGUCUUCAGACUUGUGCCCCCGUGAGCCCCUUUCUGGGCAGGGUCCUCGGACCCCGCCCCGGUUACCAUGAUUAAAUUGUAGUGCUCAGAGCAAGCUUUACGCAGCUGAACAACUUAGCAUGGGAUAACAAACCACGGCUUCGUGUGAUUUGUUGGUGAUUACAAAGGAGUAAUGAGUAAUAGGGGCGGUUGGGGGCCUUAGUACGAUUUCGUUAGAGGUGAAAUUCCAAGAUCGAAGUCAGACUAACUGAAGCGAAAGCGUUGGCCAAGGACGCUCUCAUUG
RNAcentral lists this ribosomal RNA (363 nucleotides) under Carpediemonas sp. RNAcentral's name for it is "partial small subunit ribosomal RNA". It matches the Rfam family "Eukaryotic small subunit ribosomal RNA", at positions 582 to 975 of the family's 1831-position model. Lineage: Eukaryota; Fornicata. The record is from RNAcentral.